This 497-nucleotide ribosomal RNA is filed under the name uncultured bacterium. Its description in RNAcentral is "partial 16S ribosomal RNA". It matches the Rfam family "Bacterial small subunit ribosomal RNA", at positions 28 to 507 of the family's 1533-position model. The record is from RNAcentral.
GACGAACGCUGGCGGCGUGCCUAAUACAUGCAAGUUGAGCGCUGAAGGUUGGUACUUGUACCAACUGGAUGAGCAGCGCACGGGUGAGUAACGCGUGGGGAAUCUGCCUUUGAGCGGGGGACAACAUUUGGAAACGAAUGCUAAUACCGCAUAAAAACUUUAAACACAAGUUUUAAGUUUGAAAGAUGCAAUUGCAUCACUCAAAGAUGAUCCCACGUUGUAUUAGCUAGUUGGUGAGGUAAAGGCUCACCAAGGCGAUGAUACAUAGCCGACCUGAGAGGGUGAUCGGCCACAUUGGGACUGAGACACGGCCCAAACUCCUACGGGAGGCAGCAGUAGGGAAUCUUCGGCAAUGGACGAAAGUCUGACCGAGCAACGCCGCGUGAGUGAAGAAGGUUCUCGGAUCGUAAAACUCUGUUGGUAGAGAAGAACGUUGGUGAGAGUGGAAAGCUCAUCAAGUGACGGUAACUACCCAGAAAGGGACGGCUAACUACGUG